CACGACAACAAGGGCGGCGCCAUUGCGCUCAUUUUGUCAACGUACUUCCGGCUGCAUAUGAUGAGCAGCUGAGGCAGUGGCUGAAGGCGACGCAUUAAACCUAAAAAGCUCAAGCGCCUUUAUGUUUGUUUCUUACCAAUUUUAACGGACGGGAAGCUGACUGAGGAACACCCUAAUCCCAAGUAAUGGUUUGACUACGAUGUUCCGGUAACUUGAAGCUAUGCCGGGUGUUGAAAAGGUGGUCAGUUUCAGAUGCAUUGAUGUUUAGUGAUGCAAUGGACAACUGUGAGGAAAACACAAUCAACAUGUUCCUAAACUGUGAUCCAGAAACACAAUGGGAGGAUCCAUCCGUCUCUGAACACAACUACACUUUAAAAUCACAACUCAACCUGAAGCAACCUACAUCUGAUAUGGCAGUGGUUCUUAACAUUAUUCCUGGAGGCCCACUGCCCUGCACAGUUUGUAUGUCUCCCUUAUUUAACACACCUGUCUCCCUUAUUUAACACACCUGAUUCAAAUCAUCAGCUCAUUAGAAGAGAUCUCAAUGAACUGAACUGAGUCUGUCAGAUAAAAGAGACAUACAAAAUGUGCAAAGCAGUGGGCCAUGAGGAAUAACGUUAAGAACCACUGUGAUAUGGGAAAACAACCUUGCGGUUUCCCGGACAGGGCUUAUGCUGGUCCCAGGCUAAAAUGCAUAUUUGAGCUACGAUAAUUUAAAAACGCCUUGUACUGACAUACCUCAACAUAUAUGAGUGCCAUUGUUUUGUCACAAGAUGUGGUUUGUUUGUAAAAAAUAAAAUGUCCUAAUAUAAUUAAGGCCUAGUCCUGUAAACUCUGUCCGAGAUGUGUUGAGCUGGCACAAAUGUACAUAUCUCUGCUGAGAAACAACCAUCUUUGUCAGCUUUACACAGGGUAGAUAGUGCAUUCAUUACAUUCAGUCGCUAAGCACGUCACCAGUACAUACACCAACAGCUUCCAGAUAAACACUUGGGAUCAGCUCCUGAUGACUCUGAUAAAGCUGUGUCUUAAUUCAUUGCAGGGUGGUCUUGCUGAAAAGUUUCUUAGUCCAUAGUUAUUUUUAUAAACCUUUACAAUGUGACCUGAUUUUACCUGUUGUAAAGUUACAUUAAACCUUCAUAUGUGAUCAGAUGUCAUGCAGUGAUAUUAAACAUUUACAAUGUGAUCAGAUGUUACCUGUCAUGCAUUUAUAUUAAACCUUUACAAUGUGA
Non-coding RNA from Paramisgurnus dabryanus, 1229 nucleotides. The record is from RefSeq and is a predicted model, not a curated record. Lineage: Eukaryota; Metazoa; Chordata; Actinopteri; Cypriniformes; Cobitidae.